This 352-nucleotide long non-coding RNA is filed under the name Vigna radiata. RNAcentral's name for it is "long non-coding RNA (VRAD_LNC016327)". The record is from RNAcentral. Lineage: Eukaryota; Viridiplantae; Streptophyta; Magnoliopsida; Fabales; Fabaceae.
UGGCUUCGGGUCAGAACUCAAAGAAACGACCCCACUUGAGUUUAAACGAGGGAAAUGAUUUUUUCGAUGCAUGCCAAAGCUUUGAGGACUUUCCAUCUAGCUCUCUUUACUGGCCUUCUUCUGCAUCAGGUUGGUUUCAUUUUUGUUACUAUGCUUAAAGUUUUGAAAAUUUGAUGAUUGAUUCCAUCUGAAUGAUGAUGCAUGCAGCAGCAAAGGCAAAGGAAGAAGCACCUGACUUGAGCAAGUUCACGAAUGAGGAGUUGUCAUCAUUGCUUACGGUAUUUCCAUCUUCCAACACAGAGGGUCAUGACUGGCUGAACAAUGGUGAUCAAGAAGGGUUGAAUGUACAACC